CGGAAGGCCCCUUGUGGGUACUCGAGCGGCGAACGGGUGAGUAACACGUGAGUAACCUGCCUUCCACUCCGGGAUAAGCCUGGGAAACCGGGUCUAAUACCGGAUACGACCGCCUCGCGCAUGCGGGGUGGUGGAAAGCGUCUAGUGGUGGGGGAUGGGCUCGCGGCCUAUCAGCUUGUUGGUGGGGUAGUGGCCUACCAAGGCGACGACGGGUAGCCGGCCUGAGAGGGCGACCGGCCACACUGGGACUGAGACACGGCCCAGACUCCUACGGGAGGCAGCAGUGGGGAAUCUUGCGCAAUGGGCGGAAGCCUGACGCAGCGACGCCGCGUGGGGGAUGACGGCCUUCGGGUUGUAAACCUCUUUCAGCAGGGACGAAGUUGGACGUGUACCUGCAGAAGAAGCGCCGGCUAACUACGUGCCAGCAGCCGCGGUAAUACGUAGGGCGCGAGCGUUGUCCGGAAUUAUUGGGCGUAAAGAGCUCGUAGGUGGCUGGUCGCGUCUGCCGUGAAAGCCCAUGGCUUAACUGUGGGUCUGCGGUGGAUACGGGCCGGCUUGAGGUAGGUAGGGGCAAGCGGAAUUCCUGGUGUAGCGGUGAAAUGCGCAGAUAUCAGGAGGAACACCGGUGGCGAAGGCGGCUUGCUGGGCCUAUCCUGACGCUGAGGAGCGAA
RNAcentral lists this ribosomal RNA (671 nucleotides) under Thermoactinospora rubra. RNAcentral's name for it is "bacterial SSU rRNA". It matches the Rfam family "Bacterial small subunit ribosomal RNA", at positions 67 to 757 of the family's 1533-position model. The record is from RNAcentral. Lineage: Bacteria; Bacillati; Actinomycetota; Actinomycetes; Streptosporangiales; Streptosporangiaceae.